Molecule: ribosomal RNA, 250 nt
Filed under: uncultured bacterium
Lineage: Bacteria
Description: partial 16S ribosomal RNA
Rfam family: Bacterial small subunit ribosomal RNA
Source: RNAcentral
GAGGGUGCAAGCGUUAAUCGGAAUAACUGGGCGUAAAGCGCACGCAGGCGGUUGGAUAAGCGAGAUGUGAAAGCCCCGGGCUCAACCUGGGAACUGCAUUUCGAACUGUCCGACUAGAGUCUUGUAGAGGGGGGUAGAAUUCCAGGUGUAGCGGUGAAAUGCGUAGAGAUCUGGAGGAAUACCGGUGGCGAAGGCGGCCCCCUGGACAAAGACUGACGCUCAGGUGCGAAAGCGUGGGGAGCAAACAGGA